ACUCCUACGGGAGGCAGCAGUGAGGAAUAUUGGUCAAUGGACGCGAGUCUGAACCAGCCAAGUAGCGUGAAGGAUGACUGCCCUAUGGGUUGUAAACUUCUUUUAUAAGGGAAUAAAGUGAGGGACGUGUCCCUUUUUGUAUGUACCUUAUGAAUAAGGAUCGGCUAACUCCGUGCCAGCAGCCGCGGUAAUACGGAGGAUCCAAGCGUUAUCCGGAUUUAUUGGGUUUAAAGGGAGCGUAGGUUGACAUAUAAGUCAGCUGUGAAAGUUUACGGCUCAACCGUGAAAUUGCAGUUGAUACUGUAUGUCUUGAGUGUACAAGAGGUGGGCGGAAUUCGUGGUGUAGCGGUGAAAUGCUUAGAUAUCACGAAGAACUCCAAUUGCGAAGGCAGCUCACUGGGGUACAACUGACACUGAGGCUCGAAAGUGUGGGUAUCAAACAGGAUUAGAUACCCUGGUAGUC
Molecule: ribosomal RNA, 463 nt
Filed under: uncultured bacterium
Lineage: Bacteria
Description: bacterial SSU rRNA
Rfam family: Bacterial small subunit ribosomal RNA
Source: RNAcentral